GAACUUCCUUUGUUGGGCACGUCGUGCUGAUGUAUAACUCUUAUAGUCAUAACUUAGAUUUCUCUGUAUAUAUAUGUUCCCUCAAAGUUGUUCAACCUUUUUAUUGGUUAAUGUUGCAGACUUAAGAUGCCCUUUUUCUCUCUAGACUUAAUGUUGCAGACUUAAGAUGCCCUUUUUCCAGUAGAUGCCCCUCUUGCGGUCUUGUGAGUGUUAGAAUUCAUAUUAAAUAGU
RNAcentral lists this long non-coding RNA (231 nucleotides) under Vigna radiata. RNAcentral describes it as "long non-coding RNA (VRAD_LNC017948)". Lineage: Eukaryota; Viridiplantae; Streptophyta; Magnoliopsida; Fabales; Fabaceae. The record is from RNAcentral.